GACUCCUACGGGAGGCAGCAGUGGGGAAUUUUGGACAAUGGACGAAAGUCUGAUCCAGCCAUUCCGCGUGCAGGACGAAGGCCUUCGGGUUGUAAACUGCUUUUGUACAGAACGAAAAGGUCUCUAUUAAUACUAGGGGCCCAUGACGGUACCGUAAGAAUAAGCACCGGCUAACUACGUG
RNAcentral lists this ribosomal RNA (181 nucleotides) under uncultured freshwater bacterium. Its description in RNAcentral is "partial 16S ribosomal RNA". It matches the Rfam family "Bacterial small subunit ribosomal RNA", at positions 334 to 507 of the family's 1533-position model. The record is from RNAcentral.